GGUUAACGCUGGCGGCGUGCCUAACACAUGCAAGUCGAACGGUUCUAAGCGCGAGCUUAGGAUAGUGGCGAACGGGUGAGUAAAAGGUAGGAAUCUACCCCUUGGACGGAGAUAGCUACUGGAAACGGUAGGUAAACUUCGAUAAGCCCGAGAGGGGAAAGUGGUGAGACAGCCGAGGGAUGAGCCUACUCUCCAUCAGGUAGUUGGUGAGAUAAAAGCUUACCAAGCCGAUGACGGAUAACCGGUGUGAGAGCAUGAACGGUCACAAGGGCACUGAGAGACGGGCCCUACUCCUACGGGAGGCAGCAGUGGGGAAUAUUGCGCAAUGGACGGAAGUCUGACGCAGCGACGCCGCGUGAGCGACGAAGGCCUUCGGGUCGUAAAGCUCUGUUCUUGGGGACGAAUAAAAUGACGGUACCCAAGGAGAAAGCCCCGGCUAACUACGUG
Molecule: ribosomal RNA, 447 nt
Filed under: uncultured bacterium
Lineage: Bacteria
Description: bacterial SSU rRNA
Rfam family: Bacterial small subunit ribosomal RNA
Source: RNAcentral